Molecule: long non-coding RNA, 1773 nt
Filed under: Pogona vitticeps (central bearded dragon)
Lineage: Eukaryota; Metazoa; Chordata; Lepidosauria; Squamata; Agamidae
Description: lncRNA (ENSPVIG00000014472.1)
Source: RNAcentral
AUGAUGAAACAUUUGUUUUGGCAGACUGAUAAGCAGGCUCAAGAAGGCAAAAGUUUAGCCAGGCAUGGCUUUGCAGGAAAGGAGAGCAGAAGCUUGUCUAGGUCUGUAACAAAUUGCUUUGAUGAAAAAAAAUAUAUAAGAUACUUAUUGGGUUACUGGCUGAGCUGUUACCUUAAGGCACCAUAAGCUAUAGCAAUUCUCAAGAAUCAUGGAGUGGUUGGAGGUAUUGCUUCACAUUUCUGAAAUGAAUUUACAUGUUUCUGAGGAGAGUUGCAAUUGUUCAGUUGCACAGCUAGGCUUCUAAUAGCCAAGCUACUGAUUCAGUGACCCAAGGGGAAUGUGGAAGGUAUUGUUUCUGGCUUUCUCACAAAGUAUCUACCGUAAGUAUGAUCUCCUUCAACUAUUAACAAAGAAGAGUUUUCACAACAGGUAACUGUUGGGGCUAGAUUUACAAGGUGAUCUUUCAUGUUUCAACUCAUCUACCUUGGUCUAAUGCUCUAAAACAAAAUGAAGGCUUAUGAUGAUACUAACUGUGGUUUCCUUCCAAUAUUCUUCUCAGACUCUCCUCCAAAUAAUGUAAAUAUUUCUAUGUGCCCCAGAAAGGCCUGUCCGCAACCAUCACUAUUGUUGGUGACGUACUGUACGUCUCCUUUAAAAUCAAAGUACUGUACUAUCUGCGAAUAGCAUGUGGUUUGACAUGUUCUCCAGCAGUAUGUAAAACUGUGGGAACCACAGGUGCUCUUGGCAUGGCUUUUCCAUCCCAAUAGCUGCUGGGCGUGAGGCAGCUGAGAUUUCAGUGGCUCUAGGAGCCUCAAGGAGGAAGCACUUAUAAUGGAGAUUGUUUCAUAAUGCAGCUGCCAAGAUUAGAGAGCAACAACCAAGUGACUACAAGGAAAGAUUUAUAGGUAAUGACACUUGUUCUUAAUGCUGAACAAGGAGCUACAGUGCAGCAAGGGAAAAGCUUUCAAACAUAAAUCUGAGUUAAAUCUCUUCUUCACUGUAAAGUGUCUUUCUGGGUUCUUCCUGGUCUUCUUUGGCUCAGCACAGCUUUAAAGCCGCAACUGUCACACCAGAAGCAAUAGUGUGUAUGUUUGUAUGUGUAGCGUCUUCUGAGGGCACGAUUCUAUCCUGGGCCACGGAAAUGCUAGCAAUGAUGUGUUCUGAAGGGCACUUCAGUUAACCUCUUCCCUCCAAGUGGAUCAAAGCAAAAUGAUAUAGUUUCACAAACAUGAAUUCCUAACACUCUGUAACUAUUCAGCAGUUCUACCUUACCCAGCAAUUUCUGUUCGAUUUUUUCUCCUGCCACUUGAGAUUUCAUCAGCUGGUGUGUUCCACUAUAAAUAAUUAGUGUGGGGAAAUACGCACUCUGAGGUAUUAAUAGAUGUUGCUUCUCAGAGAGCAAAAUGCACCCAUGGAUUAUCCAUUGAGGCUCACUGCCAGUUCUAACAGAACAACCUUUUGCCAGGUGGCCUAUUGACUACAGAGAAGUGACUAUUAACCUAUUGCUGUGCCAGCCUCCAAAGGUGGUACCUAUACCUGAGUGAUGGCAGUAGGUGGAAGCAACAGAAGGAAAUAUGCAAGAGAAGAGACAUAUUUGCUAGAUUUGCUACUCCAGUUAUUCUAGUUGUUAAUGCGGAAAGGGGGGAGACCUGUCUGCAAAUGAAGUACUCAGAACCCACAGUCAAUUCAUUUUUCCAUUGGUGAAAUAUUAAAACAAGAGAGAAAUCUAUAAUUUCAAGGCUCACAUUAAUAAAUAAUUCUUGGUUUACUACA